Small nuclear RNA from Callithrix jacchus (white-tufted-ear marmoset), 107 nucleotides. NCBI's taxonomy places the organism in Eukaryota, Metazoa, Chordata, Mammalia, Primates, Cebidae. The record is from Ensembl.
GUGCUCGCUUCAGCAGCACAUAUACUAAAAUUGGAACGAUACAGAGAAGAUGAGCAUGGCCCCUGCACAAGGAUGACAUGCAAAUUCGUGAAGCAUUCCAUAUUUUU